CCGUGAAGCCCAAGUGCCUCACAUGGGAAAGAUUUCCUGUAGGAUGGGGAGCUUGAACAGGCUUCAGAAGAUGAGUAGGAUUUGUUGGCUUAUCAUGGGCCUUGAGAGGUGCCAGAGCUAG
This 121-nucleotide long non-coding RNA is filed under the name Chinchilla lanigera (long-tailed chinchilla). RNAcentral describes it as "lncRNA (ENSCLAG00000026489.1)". Lineage: Eukaryota; Metazoa; Chordata; Mammalia; Rodentia; Chinchillidae. The record is from RNAcentral.